Molecule: ribosomal RNA, 497 nt
Filed under: uncultured bacterium
Lineage: Bacteria
Description: partial 16S ribosomal RNA
Rfam family: Bacterial small subunit ribosomal RNA
Source: RNAcentral
GAUGAACGCUGGCGGCGUGCCUAAUACAUGCAAGUCGAGCGAACAGACGAGGAGCUUGCUCCUCUGACGUUAGCGGCGGACGGGUGAGUAACACGUGGAUAACCUACCUAUACGACUGGGAUAACUUCGGGAAACCGGAGCUAAUACCGGAUAAUAUAUUCAACCGCAUGGUCCAAUAGUGAAAGACGGUUUUGCUGUCACUUAUAGAUGGAUCCGCGCCGCAUUCGCUAGUUGGUAAGGUAACGGCUUACCAAGGCGACGAUGCGUAGCCGACCUGAGAGGGUGAUCGGCCACACUGGAACUGAGACACGGCCCAGACUCCUACGGGAGGCAGCAGUAGGGAAUCGUCCGCAAUGGGCGAAAGCCUGACGGAGCAACGCCGCGUGAGUGAUGAAGGUCUUCGGAUCGUAAAACUCUGUUAUUAGGGAAGAACAAAUGUGUAAGUAACUAUGCACGUCUUGACGGUACCUUAUCAGAAAGCCACGGCUAACUACGUG